This 254-nucleotide ribosomal RNA is filed under the name uncultured bacterium. RNAcentral describes it as "partial 16S ribosomal RNA". It matches the Rfam family "Bacterial small subunit ribosomal RNA", at positions 524 to 776 of the family's 1533-position model. The record is from RNAcentral.
UACGUAGGGCGCAAGCGUUGUCCGGAAUUAUUGGGCGUAAAGAGCUCGUAGGCGGUGUGUUACGUCGGCCGUGAAAACCUGCAGCUUAACUGUGGGCGUGCGGUCGAUACGGGCAUCACUGGAGUUCGGCAGGGGAGACUGGAAUUCCUGGUGUAGCGGUGAAAUGCGCAGAUAUCAGGAGGAACACCAGUGGCGAAGGCGGCAUCCUGGACCGGUAUUGACGCUGAGGCGCGAAAGCUAGGGUAGCAAACGGG